CCUACGGGGGGCUGCAGUGGGGAAUAUUGGACAAUGGGGGAAACCCUGAUCCAGCGACGCCGCGUGGGUGAAGAAGGCCUGCGGGUUGUAAAGCCCUUUCGGUGGGGAAGAAAAGCCUCGACCUAACACGUCGGGGUAUUGACGUAACCCACAAAAGAAGCACCGGCUAACUCUGUGCCAGCAGCCGCGGUAAUACAGAGGGUGCGAGCGUUAAUCGGAAUUACUGGGCGUAAAGCGCGCGUAGGCGGCUAUACAAGUCGAGUGUGAAAUCCCCGGGCUCAACCUGGGAACUGCAUUCGAGACUGUAUGGCUUGAGUAUGGGAGAGGGAGGCGGAAUUUCAGGUGUAGCGGUGAAAUGCGUAGAUAUCUGAAGGAACAUCAGUGGCGAAAGCGGCCUCCUGGACCAAUACUGACGCUCAUGUGCGAAAGCGUGGGGAGCAAACAGGAUUAGAUACCCGUGUAGUC
This 465-nucleotide ribosomal RNA is filed under the name uncultured Steroidobacter sp. RNAcentral's name for it is "bacterial SSU rRNA". It matches the Rfam family "Bacterial small subunit ribosomal RNA", at positions 338 to 795 of the family's 1533-position model. The record is from RNAcentral. Lineage: Bacteria; Pseudomonadati; Pseudomonadota; Gammaproteobacteria; Steroidobacterales; Steroidobacteraceae.